RNAcentral lists this ribosomal RNA (462 nucleotides) under uncultured bacterium. Its description in RNAcentral is "partial 16S ribosomal RNA". It matches the Rfam family "Bacterial small subunit ribosomal RNA", at positions 29 to 507 of the family's 1533-position model. The record is from RNAcentral.
AGUGAACGCUGGCGGCGUGCCUAAUACAUGCAAGUCGAACGAACGAAUAAGAGCUUGCUCUUAUAAGUUAGUGGCGCACGGGUGAGUAAUAUAUAGCUAAUCUGCCUCUUAGUAGAGGAUAACAGUCGGAAACGAUUGCUAAUACUCUAUACUUCUGCUUUACAUAAGUAAAGUAGAGAAAGUUUUUCGCUAAGAGAUGAGGCUAUACUGUAUCAGCUAGUUGGUAAGGUAACGGCUUACCAAGGCUAUGACGCAUAACUGGUCUGGGAGGAUGAUCAGUCACAUUGGAACUGAGACACGGUCCAAACUCCUACGGGAGGCAGCAGUAGGGAAUAUUGCGCAAUGGGGGCAACCCUGACGCAGCAACGCCGCGUGGAGGAUGACACUUUUCGGAGCGUAAACUCCUUUUAUCGGGAAAGAAUAAUGACGGUACCCGAUGAAUAAGCACCGGCUAACUCCGUG